RNAcentral lists this ribosomal RNA (441 nucleotides) under uncultured bacterium. RNAcentral describes it as "partial 16S ribosomal RNA". It matches the Rfam family "Bacterial small subunit ribosomal RNA", at positions 338 to 795 of the family's 1533-position model. The record is from RNAcentral.
CCUACGGGUGGCAGCAGUGGGGAAUAUUGCACAAUGGGGGAAACCCUGAUGCAGCGACGCCGCGUGAGUGAAGAAGUAUUUCGGUAUGUAAAGCUCUAUCAGCAGGGAAGAAAAUGACGGUACCUGACUAAGAAGCCCCGGCUAACUACGUGCCAGCAGCCGCGGUAAUACGUAGGGGGCAAGCGUUAUCCGGAUUUACUGGGUGGAAAGGGAGCGUAGGUGGCAUGGUAAGCCAGAAGUGAAAACCCGGGGCUCAACCCCGCGGAUUGCUUUUGGAACUAUCAGGCUGGAGUGCUGGAGGGGUAAGCGGAAUUCCUAGUGUAGCGGUGAAAUGCAUAGAUAUUAGGAGGAACACCGGUGGCGAAGGCGGCUUACUGGACAGAAACUGACACUGAGGCUCGAAAGCGUGGGGAGCAAACAGGAUUAGAUACCCCUGUAGUC